Molecule: non-coding RNA, 967 nt
Organism: Prunus mume (Japanese apricot)
Lineage: Eukaryota; Viridiplantae; Streptophyta; Magnoliopsida; Rosales; Rosaceae
Source: RefSeq, a predicted model, not a curated record
UGGAAUUUGGACUGUAGUUUAUCCAGUACUUUCUGCUUAAAGCAGUUGACCAUUCGUUGUUUUAUGUUACAGGCUGCUUCACAUUGACUUCCUGCAAUCCAAGCACUGCAAAUCAAAAUAUGCAUGCAUAUGGAAUAACGCUUAUUGCAGCUCUGAGUACUCUGCUACUUAUUAUUUACAAUAGUUCUGACCAAGUUCUCACCACUAUAGAGAGGAGACUGGCCAAAUCCCGAGAAGCAGCAGCCAGAAGUAAAAUGGUCAGGCCUGGCUGCAUUAUUGCUGUCAUGGGUCCAUCAGGGGCCGGAAAAACAACUUUUGUUUCUGCCCUAGCAGGAAAAGCAAUCGGAUGCAAUAUGACUGGUUUAAUUCUUAUAAAUGGAAAGAAUAUAUCAAUCCAUUCAUAUAAGAAAAAUCAUAGGUUUUGUGCCACAAGAUGAUAUUGUGCAUGGAAACUUAAGGGUGGAAGAGAAUUUAUGGUUCAGUGCAAAGUGCAGCUAUGCCACAUACAGCUCUUUCCAUAUUCCACUCCAACAGAAAAUAUUCUAUUCACAUGUUAUCUGCGGACUUACCAGAACCGGAUAAAGUUUUAGUGGUUGAAAGAGUUAUUGAGUCCUUGGGGCUUCAGCAAGUGCGUGGUUCUUUGGUUGGAACAGUAGAGAAGCGAGGAAUUUCUGGAGGCCAGAGGAAACGUGUAAAUGUUGGCUUAGAAAUGGUUAUGGAACCUUCACUUUUGAUUCUGGAUGAACCCACAUCUGUUUAGACAGUGCCUCUUCUCAGCUGCUUCUUAGAGCACUUAGACGGGAAGCUCUUGAAGGGGUAAACAUCUGCAUGGUGGUUCACCAGCCUAGGUAACAUUUCCAAACAAGGUCUUUAUGCUUUGAAAAUUCACCAUCUUUCAAUGUGCAUUGCAUUCUUGUAUUCUUUGAUAUUUUUUGCUUGAAUAAUGUAUAGGAACAAAAGAAGGUCG